UGGGGAAUAUUGGUCAAUGGGCGAGAGCCUGAACCAGCCAAGUCGCGUGAAGGAAGAAGGUUCUAUGGAUUGUAAACUUCUUUUGUAAGGGAAUAAAAAGAGUUACGUGUAACUUAUUGUAUGUACUUUACGAAUAAGGAUCGGCUAACUCCGUGCCAGCAGCCGCGGUAAUACGGAGGAUCCAAGCGUUAUCCGGAUUUAUUGGGUUUAAAGGGUGCGUAGGCGGGUUUUUAAGUCAGUGGUGAAAGUUUGCAGCUCAACUGUAAAAUUGCCAUUGAAACUGAAGACCUUGAGUGUAAAUGAGGUAGGCGGAAUGUGUUGUGUAGCGGUGAAAUGCUUAGAUAUAACACAGAACACCAAUUGCGAAGGCAGCUUACUGGGAUACAACUGACGCUGAGGCACGAAAGCGUGGGGAUCAAACA
This 422-nucleotide ribosomal RNA is filed under the name uncultured prokaryote. Its description in RNAcentral is "bacterial SSU rRNA". It matches the Rfam family "Bacterial small subunit ribosomal RNA", at positions 355 to 774 of the family's 1533-position model. The record is from RNAcentral.